Molecule: ribosomal RNA, 253 nt
Filed under: uncultured bacterium
Lineage: Bacteria
Description: partial 16S ribosomal RNA
Rfam family: Bacterial small subunit ribosomal RNA
Source: RNAcentral
UACGGAGGGUGCAAGCGUUAUCCGGAUUCACUGGGUUUAAAGGGUGCGUAGGCGGGUUAUUAAGUCAGUGGUGAAAGCCUUCAGCUCAACUGAAGAACUGCCAUUGAUACUGAUGAUCUUGAGUACGAUUGAGGUAGGCGGAAUGUGUCAUGUAGCGGUGAAAUGCUUAGAUAUGACACAGAACACCGAUUGCGAAGGCAGCUUACUAAGUCGUAACUGACGCUGAUGCACGAAAGCGUGGGGAGCAAACAGG